CGAGUUGGCCGGGCGGCCGCGAGGGUCACUCCCUCGAGGAAAGUCCGGACUCCGCAGGGCAGGGUGGUUGCUAACCGCAACCCGGGGCGACCCGCGGGACAGUGCCACAGAAAACAGACCGCCCCGGUCCGGCAGGACCGGGGUAAGGGUGAAACGGUGGUGUAAGAGACCACCAGCACCCCGGGUGACCGGGGUGGCUCGGUAAACCCCACCCGGAGCAAGGCCAAGAGGGCGCCGCGAGGUGCCUGCGCAGGCGAUCGAGGGCGGCCCGUCCGAUGCCUGCGGGUAGGCCGCUCGAGCCCGCCGGCGACGGCGGGCCUAGAUGGAUGGCCGCCACCGCGGCUCCGGCCGCGGGACAGGAUCCGGCUUACAGGUCAACUCGUCCG
RNAcentral lists this RNase P RNA (386 nucleotides) under Amycolatopsis viridis. RNAcentral's name for it is "RNase P class A". It matches the Rfam family "Bacterial RNase P class A". From Rfam's summary of the family: Ribonuclease P (RNase P) is a ubiquitous endoribonuclease, found in archaea, bacteria and eukarya as well as chloroplasts and mitochondria. Its best characterised activity is the generation of mature 5'-ends of tRNAs by cleaving the 5'-leader elements of precursor-tRNAs. Cellular RNase Ps are ribonucleoproteins. Lineage: Bacteria; Bacillati; Actinomycetota; Actinomycetes; Pseudonocardiales; Pseudonocardiaceae. The record is from RNAcentral.